GCCACCCUAGCUCAGUUGGUAGAGCAAAUCAUUCGUAAUGAUUAGGUCGGCGGUUCGAGUCCGCUGGGUGGCUCUA
Molecule: transfer RNA, 76 nt
Filed under: Bacteroidota bacterium
Lineage: Bacteria; Pseudomonadati; Bacteroidota
Description: Bacteroidetes bacterium tRNA-Thr
Rfam family: tRNA
About the family: Transfer RNA (tRNA) molecules are approximately 80 nucleotides in length. Their secondary structure includes four short double-helical elements and three loops (D, anti-codon, and T loops).
Source: RNAcentral